GAGGUUGUGGCUCAGUGGUAGAGCGCUCACCUAGCACGUUUGAGGCCCUGGGUUCGAUCCUCAGCACCACA
This 71-nucleotide transfer RNA is filed under the name Marmota monax (woodchuck). Its description in RNAcentral is "tRNA.Ala". It matches the Rfam family "tRNA". From Rfam's summary of the family: Transfer RNA (tRNA) molecules are approximately 80 nucleotides in length. Their secondary structure includes four short double-helical elements and three loops (D, anti-codon, and T loops). Further hydrogen bonds mediate the characteristic L-shaped molecular structure. tRNAs have two regions of fundamental functional importance: the anti-codon, which is responsible for specific mRNA codon recognition, and the 3' end, to which the tRNAs corresponding amino acid is attached (by aminoacyl-tRNA synthetases). tRNAs cope with the degeneracy of the genetic code in two manners: having more than one tRNA (with a specific anti-codon) for a particular amino acid; and 'wobble' base-pairing, i.e. permitting non-standard base-pairing at the 3rd anti-codon position. Lineage: Eukaryota; Metazoa; Chordata; Mammalia; Rodentia; Sciuridae. The record is from RNAcentral.